RNAcentral lists this ribosomal RNA (253 nucleotides) under uncultured bacterium. RNAcentral describes it as "partial 16S ribosomal RNA". It matches the Rfam family "Bacterial small subunit ribosomal RNA", at positions 524 to 776 of the family's 1533-position model. The record is from RNAcentral.
UACGAAGGGUACUAGCGUUGUUCGGAAUUACUGGGCGUAAAGCGCACGUAGGCGGAUUUGUAAGUCAGGGGUGAAAUCCCGGGGCUCAACCUCGGAACUGCCUUUGAUACUGCAAAUCUCGAGUCCGAUAGAGGUGGGUGGAAUUCCUAGUGUAGAGGUGAAAUUCGUAGAUAUUAGGAAGAACACCGGUGGCGAAGGCGGCUCACUGGUCCGGUACUGACGCUGAGGUGCGAAAGCGUGGGGAGCAAACAGG